AGUCAAUAGAUACCCUGGUAGUCCUAGCCGUAAACGAUACUCGCUAGGUGUCGGCCACGGUGCGACCGUUGUCGGUGCCGUAGGGAAAGCCGUGAAGCGAGCCACCUGGGAAGUACGGCCGCAAGGCUGAAACUUAAAGGAAUUGGCGGGGGAGCACCACAACGGGUGGAGCUUGCGGUUUAAAUUGGAUUCAACGCCGGAAAUCUUACCGGGACCGACAGCGAUAUGAAGGCCAAGCUGAAGACUUUGCCGGAUUAGCUGAGAGGUGGUGCAUGGCCGUCGUCAGUUCGUACUGUGAAGCAUCCUGUUAAGUCAGGCAACGAGCGAGACCCAGCCCACAGUUGCCAGCGUACUCUCCGGAGUGACGGGUACACUGUGGGGACCGCGCUGCUAAAGCGGAGAAGGAAUGGGCAACGGUAGGUCAGUAUGCCCCGAAUAUCCCGGGCUACACGCGAGCUACAAUGGUUGGAAC
RNAcentral lists this ribosomal RNA (472 nucleotides) under uncultured bacterium. Its description in RNAcentral is "bacterial SSU rRNA". It matches the Rfam family "Archaeal small subunit ribosomal RNA", at positions 725 to 1196 of the family's 1478-position model. The record is from RNAcentral.